GCGGGGUCCCUUCUGGUGAGCCGGCAUGCCCUUCGCUGGGUGUGCUGGGGAACCAGGACUUUUACUUUGAAAAAAUUGGAGUGUUUAAAGCAGGCUUAUGCUUGAAUACAUUAGCAUGGAAUAAUAGAAUAGGACCUCGGUUCUAUUUUGUUGGCUUCUAGGACCGAAGUAAUGAUUAAUAGGGAUAGUUGGGGGCAUUAGUAUUUAGUAGCUAGAGGUGAAAUUCUUGGAUUUAUGAAAGACUAACUUCUGCGAAAGCAUUUGCCAAGGAUGUUUUCACUAAUCAAGAACGAAAGUUAGGGGAUCGAAGACGAUCAGAUACCGUCGUAGUCUUAACCAUAAACUAUGCCGACUAGGGAUCAGACGAUGUUAAUUUACUGACUCGUUUGGCACCUUAUGAGAAAUCAAAGUUUUUGGGUUCCGGGGGGAGUAUGGUCGCAAGGCUGAAACUUAAAGGAAUUGACGGAAGGGCACCACCAGGAGUGGAGCCUGCGGCUUAAUUUGACUCAACACGGGGAAACUCACCAGGUCCAGACAUAGUAAGGAUUGACAGAUUGAGAGCUCUUUCUUGAUUCUAUGGGUGGUGGUGCAUGGCCGUUCUUAGUUGGUGGAGUGAUUUGUCUGCUUAAUUGCGUUAACGAACGAGACCUUAACCUGCUAAAUAGUUAUGCCAACUUGAGUUGGUAGUCAACUUCUUAGAGGGACUGUCGGCGAUAGCCGACGGAAGUUUAAGGCAAUAACAGGUC
Molecule: ribosomal RNA, 746 nt
Filed under: Mucoromycotina sp.
Lineage: Eukaryota; Fungi; Mucoromycota
Description: SSU rRNA
Rfam family: Eukaryotic small subunit ribosomal RNA
Source: RNAcentral